AAAAGCCGGAAUAGCUCAGUUGGUAGAGCAGAGGACUGAAAAUCCCCGUGUCACAUUCAA
RNAcentral lists this transfer RNA (60 nucleotides) under Phyllogonium viride. RNAcentral describes it as "partial tRNA-Phe". The record is from RNAcentral. Lineage: Eukaryota; Viridiplantae; Streptophyta; Bryopsida; Hypnales; Phyllogoniaceae.